UACGUAGGGUCCAAGCGUUAUCCGGAAUCACUGGGCGUAAAGCGUGCGUAGGUGGCGUGUUAAGUGUGAUGUUAAAUCGCGGGGCUCAACCCUGUCGAUGCAUCGCAUACUGGCAUGCUAGAGGGAAGCAGAGGCAAGUGGAAUUUGUAGUGUAGCAGUGAAAUGCGUAGAUAUUACAAGGAACACCAAUGGCGAAGGCAGCUUGCUGGGCUUCUUCUGACACUGAGGUACGAAAGCGUGGGGAGCGAACGGGAUUAGAUACCCUGGUAGUCCACGCCGUAAACGAUGCAUACUAGUCUUAUGGGGUAUCGACCCCCUGUGAGACGCAGCUAACGCGAUAAGUAUGCCGCCUGGGAAGUACGGCCGCAAGGCUAAA
Molecule: ribosomal RNA, 376 nt
Filed under: uncultured bacterium
Lineage: Bacteria
Description: bacterial SSU rRNA
Rfam family: Bacterial small subunit ribosomal RNA
Source: RNAcentral